Molecule: long non-coding RNA, 542 nt
Filed under: Homo sapiens (human)
Lineage: Eukaryota; Metazoa; Chordata; Mammalia; Primates; Hominidae
Description: cytoskeleton regulator RNA, transcript variant 3 (CYTOR)
Source: RNAcentral
UCGUUCCAAUGAGAAUGAAGGCUGAGGUGUGCGCCUUUUUUUUUUUUUCCUUCUUAGUCGUGUGUACAUCAUUGGGAAUGGAGGGAAAUAAAUGACUGGAUGGUCGCUGCUUUUUAAGUUUCAAAUUGACAUUCCAGACAAGCGGUGCCUGAGCCCGUGCCUGUCUUCAGAUCUUCACAGCACAGUUCCUGGGAAGGUGGAGCCACCAGCCUCUCCUUGAAUAACUGGGAGAUGAAACAGGAAGCUCUAUGACACACUUGAUCGAAUAUGACAGACACCGAAAAUCACGACUCAGCCCCCUCCAGCACCUCUACCUGUUGCCCGCCGAUCACAGCCGGAAUGCAGCUGAAAGAUUCCCUGGGGCCUGGUUCCAACCGCCCACUGUGGACUCUGAGGCCUCUGCAUUUGCGGGUGGUCUGCCUGUGAUAUUUUGGUCAUGGGCUGGUCUGGUCGGUUUCCCAUUUGUCUGGCCAGUCUCUAUGUGUCUUAAUCCCUUGUCCUUCAUUAAAAGCAAAACUAAAGAAAACAGAAAAAAAAAAAAA